GGAGAGAUGGCUCAGUGGUUAAGAGCACUGGCUGCUCUCCUAGAGGACCCGGGUUCAACUCCCAGCUCACCA
This 72-nucleotide transfer RNA is filed under the name Neotoma lepida (desert woodrat). It matches the Rfam family "tRNA". From Rfam's summary of the family: Transfer RNA (tRNA) molecules are approximately 80 nucleotides in length. Their secondary structure includes four short double-helical elements and three loops (D, anti-codon, and T loops). Further hydrogen bonds mediate the characteristic L-shaped molecular structure. tRNAs have two regions of fundamental functional importance: the anti-codon, which is responsible for specific mRNA codon recognition, and the 3' end, to which the tRNAs corresponding amino acid is attached (by aminoacyl-tRNA synthetases). tRNAs cope with the degeneracy of the genetic code in two manners: having more than one tRNA (with a specific anti-codon) for a particular amino acid; and 'wobble' base-pairing, i.e. permitting non-standard base-pairing at the 3rd anti-codon position. The record is from Rfam by way of RNAcentral. Lineage: Eukaryota; Metazoa; Chordata; Mammalia; Rodentia; Cricetidae.